This 73-nucleotide transfer RNA is filed under the name uncultured Bacteroides sp. RNAcentral's name for it is "tRNA-Met(cat)". It matches the Rfam family "tRNA". From Rfam's summary of the family: Transfer RNA (tRNA) molecules are approximately 80 nucleotides in length. Their secondary structure includes four short double-helical elements and three loops (D, anti-codon, and T loops). Lineage: Bacteria; Pseudomonadati; Bacteroidota; Bacteroidia; Bacteroidales; Bacteroidaceae. The record is from RNAcentral.
UGCGGGAUGGAGCAGUGGUAGCUCGCAAGGCUCAUAAUCUUGAGGUCGUUGGUUCAAGUCCAACUCUCGCAAC